UACGGAGGGAGCUAGCGUUGUUCGGAUAUACUGGGCGUAAAGCGCACGUAGGCGGCGCCGUAAGUCAGGGGUGAAAUCCCGGAGCUCAACUCCGGAACUGCCCUUGAAACUGCAGUGCUAGAAUCCUGGAGAGGCGAGUGGAAUUCCGAGUGUAGAGGUGAAAUUCGUAGAUAUUCGGAAGAACACCAGUGGCGAAGGCGGCUCACUGGUCCGGUACUGACGCUGAGGUGCGAAAGCGUGGGGAGCAAACAGG
RNAcentral lists this ribosomal RNA (253 nucleotides) under uncultured bacterium. RNAcentral's name for it is "partial 16S ribosomal RNA". It matches the Rfam family "Bacterial small subunit ribosomal RNA", at positions 524 to 776 of the family's 1533-position model. The record is from RNAcentral.